This is a small nucleolar RNA of Rhea pennata, 91 nucleotides long. RefSeq annotates it as small nucleolar RNA Z266. The transcript has a single exon. NCBI's taxonomy places the organism in Eukaryota, Metazoa, Chordata, Aves, Rheiformes, Rheidae. The record is from RefSeq and is a predicted model, not a curated record.
ACCUAGCUGUAUUGAUUAGUCAAUUAUAUGAAUGGAAGAAAAUAAUAAACUAAAUUAAACAACUGCAUCUUUCAUUUCUGAACUGCUAGAU